AGCGAACGCUGGCGGCAGGCCUAACACAUGCAAGUCGAACGAACCUUUCGGGGUUAGUGGCGGACGGGUGAGUAACACGUGGGAACGUGCCUUUAGGUUCGGAAUAACUCAGGGAAACUUGUGCUAAUACCGAAUGUGCCCUUCGGGGGAAAGAUUUAUCGCCUUUAGAGCGGCCCGCGUCUGAUUAGCUAGUUGGUUGAGGUAAUGGCUCACCAAGGCGACGAUCAGUAGCUGGUCUGAGAGGAUGAUCAGCCACAUUGGGACUGAGACACGGCCCAAACUCCUACGGGAGGCAGCAGUGGGGAAUCGUGCGCAAUGGGCGAAAGCCUGACGCAGCCAUGCCGCGUGAAUGAUGAAGGUCUUAGGAUUGUAAAAUUCUUUCACCGGGGACGAUAAUGACGGUACCCGGUGAAGAAGCCCCGGCUAACUUCGUG
Molecule: ribosomal RNA, 434 nt
Filed under: uncultured bacterium
Lineage: Bacteria
Description: partial 16S ribosomal RNA
Rfam family: Bacterial small subunit ribosomal RNA
Source: RNAcentral